RNAcentral lists this ribosomal RNA (1452 nucleotides) under uncultured bacterium. RNAcentral's name for it is "16S ribosomal RNA". It matches the Rfam family "Bacterial small subunit ribosomal RNA". The record is from RNAcentral.
GAUGAACGCUAGCGAUAGGCCUAACACAUGCAAGUCGAGGGGUAACAGGGGAGCUUGCUCCCGCUGACGACCGGCGGAUGGGUGAGUAACACGUAUGCAACCUACCUUUCACACGGGCAUAACCCGGAGAAAUCCGGACUAAUUUCCGAUAACAUUUGUGUGUUUCAUGACAUAUAAAUUAAAGAUUCAUCGGUGAAAGAUGGGCAUGCGUAUGAUUAGCUAGUUGGUGGGGUAAUGGCUCACCAAGGCAACGAUCAUUAGGGGUUCUGAGAGGAAGGUCCCCCACACUGGUACUGAGACACGGACCAGACUCCUACGGGAGGCAGCAGUGAGGAAUAUUGGUCAAUGAGCGCGAGCUUGAACCAGCCACGUCGCGUGCAGGAAGACGGUCCUAUGGAUUGUAAACUGCUUUUACACAGGAAUAAAGUGAUAUACGAGCUAUAUCAUUGCAAGUACUGUGAGAAUAAGGAUCGGCUUAACUCCGUGCCAGCAGCCGCGGUAAUACGGGAGGAUCCAAGCGUUAUCCGGAUUUAUUGGGUUUAAAGGGUGCGUAGGCGGACUGAUAAGUCAGCGGUGAAAUUUUGCAGCUUAACUGUAAACGUGCCGUUGAAACUGUUAGUCUUGAGUGUAGAUAAGGUAGGCGGAAUGUGUUGUGUAGCGGUGAAAUGCUUAGAUAUGACACAGAACCCCAAUUGCGAAGGCAGCUUACUGGGUUACCACUGACGCUGAGAGCACGAAAGCGUGGGGAUCAAACAGGAUUAGAUACCCUGGUAGUCCACGCAGUAAACGAUGAUUACUCGCUGUUUGCGAUAUAUUGUAAGCGGCCAAGCGAAAGCAUUAAGUAAUCCACCUGGGGAGUACGUUCGCAAGAAUGAAACUCAAAGGAAUUGACGGGGCCCGCACAAGCGGAGGAACAUGUGGUUUAAUUCGAUGAUACGGCGAGGACCCUUAACCGGGCUUGAAAUGCAUCUGACGAAUUAGGAAACUAAUUUUCUAGCAAUAGCAGAUGUGUAGGUGCUGCAUGGUUGUCGUCAGCUCGUGCCGUGAGGUGUCGGCUUAAGUGCCAUAACGAGCGCAACCCUCAUCAUUAGUUGCUAACAGGUCAAGCUGAGGACUCUAAUGAGACUGCCACCGUAAGGUGUGAGGAAGGUGGGGAUGACGUCAAAUCAGCACGGCCCUUAUGUCCGGGGCGACACACGUGUUACAAUGGGGGGUACAACGGGCAGCUACCACGCGAGUGGAUGCUAAUCUCUAAAAGCCUCUCUCAGUUCGGAUCGGAGUCUGCAACUCGACUCCGUGAAGCUGGAUUCGCUAGUAAUCGCGCAUCAGCCAUGGCGCGGUGAAUACGUUCCCGGGCCUUGUACACACCGCCCGUCAAGCCAUGGAAGCCGGGGGUACCUGAAGUACGUGACCGUCAUAGGAGCGUCCUAGGGUAAAACCGGUAACUGGGGC